GGUUCCUGAGCCCACCCCUGUCGUUGUGAUUGGUUCCUGAGCUCACCCCUGCCGAUGUGAUUGGUUCCUGAGCCUAUAGGAUGUCAUUUUGAAAUGUAUAAAAUCCUCAUUGUGUUUUCUGUAAAACCCGUGAUGAAGGUUGAACUGCGUUGGUUUGACUUUUAACACAAAGAAGCUUUUUAUCAGCUUCCACCGUCCCACUCAAAUACAUGCUGUUAACAAUACCUAUGGCUGUAGGGGUGGCCCCCAGGUGGGUUUCUGCAUUGCAGGUGUGAUUGAAUUACAUGAUCCCCAAACUUUAGGUACCUUCCUGCAAUGGUAACUAUGGAUUUAGUACACAAUGCCAACAGUCAAGUCAGGACAGGUCAUUUAAAAACAAAAGUGAUAUUUAAUUUAGCAGAGUGACUCUCCUCUUCUGUAGUGUGAGGUAUCUCUGGUGCUGAUCAGAGAAAUAAUGGGUGUAUAGUUAUAAUAACCUCUAGACAGUCACCUGGCAGACCAAUGUGGGGCAAACUGUUGACUGUCAUUGGUAGAAAGAUGGCAGCACUGUCUCUGGGACUGGUGAUGUCACAGCUGGUUGUCAGAGGUAAGUCUCCUACCAAAGAUCUAGAUCAGGAUAUGAAUAGAAUUCAACACAAUUGGUAAUACCUGGUAUUACCUGGGGACUUCUCAAUUACAAAAGUGUAUAAUUACUGUGUAAAUAUUAAGUAAUAACCUUUUUCAACAUCAAUUACAAAAGUGUAUAAUUACUAUGUAAAAUGUGUAAAUAUUAAGUAAUAACCUUUUUCACCAUGAAAUGUCUGAUUAAAUACCAAGUAUACUUUGGUAUGUCUCAAAUGAGCACUGGUUAUCGGUCUGUAUGUGACUCUAACUCUAGGCAGUGCGGUUAAAGUCCUGUCUCAGCCGGGGAACACAGUACAGUUUCCAUGUGACUACAGCUAUGAAGACCACCAGGACAUCCCACAGCUGUCUGUCCAGUGGAGAGGCCCAAGCAACACGCUCCUCUGUCACUACAUCAAACACAAGGCCUUCCAGAACUGCACCGAGGGCUACUCACUGGACUACACGCCUAGGAAGAUCACUCUGAGCAUCACAGAGGUCAGAACGCAAGACUUCGGAUCUCACGUCUGCUCUGUUAGCAAGAGACACGAGUUCACGGACUUUAGCAUCGAGCUAGCCGUGAAGACAGAUCCCAUCACUUCUAUACCGACGAACAGGUGGGCUCAGUCAGGUCUUCCUGAGGGACAUCUUGUUGUCCUUGUCUGCUCUGUGUUGGUCAGCACCUGGGGAUGAAAAGCAGAAAUACUGGGAAAAUAAAGAACAGAUUGAGAUUACAUUUUAAAAAUAUAAAUAUUGUAAUUAGAAAUAAUAAAGAAUA
This is a long non-coding RNA of Salvelinus namaycush (lake trout), 1378 nucleotides long. RefSeq lists it as uncharacterized. The transcript is spliced from 4 exons. The record is from RefSeq and is a predicted model, not a curated record. Lineage: Eukaryota; Metazoa; Chordata; Actinopteri; Salmoniformes; Salmonidae.